Molecule: ribosomal RNA, 468 nt
Filed under: uncultured bacterium
Lineage: Bacteria
Description: partial 16S ribosomal RNA
Rfam family: Bacterial small subunit ribosomal RNA
Source: RNAcentral
GACGAACGCUGGCGGCGUGCUUAACACAUGCAAGUCGAACGGAAAGGCCCUGCUUUUGUGGGGUGCUCGAGUGGCGAACGGGUGAGUAACACGUGAGUAACCUGCCCUUGACUUUGGGAUAACUUCAGGAAACUGGGGCUAAUACCGGAUAGGAGCUCCUGCUGCAUGGUGGGGGUUGGAAAGUUUCGGCGGUUGGGGAUGGACUCGCGGCUUAUCGGCUUGUUGGUGGGGUAGUGGCUUACCAAGGCUUUGACGGGUAGCCGGCCUGGGAGGGUGACCGGCCACAUUGGGACUGCGAUACGGCCCAGACUCCUACGGGAGGCAGCAGUCGGGAACAUUGCACAAUGGGCGGAAGCCUGAUGCAGCAACCCCGCGUGCGGGAUGACGGCCUUCGGGUUGUAAACCGCUUUCGCCUGUGACGAAGCGUGAGUGACGGUAAUGGGUAAAGAAGCACCGGCUAACUACGUG